GACGAACGCUGGCGGCGUGCUUAACACAUGCCAGUCGAACGGAAAGGCCCUGCUUGCAGGGUACUCGAGUGGCGAACGGGUGAGUAACACGUGGGUGAUCUGCCCUGCACUUCGGGAUAAGCCUGGGAAACUGGGUCUAAUACCGGAUAGGAGCCAUUUUUAGUGUGAUGGUUGGAAAGUUUUUUCGGUGUAGGAUGAGCUCGCGGCCUAUCAGCUUGUUGGUGGGGUAAUGGCCUACCAAGGCGGCGACGGGUAGCCGGCCUGAGAGGGUGGACGGCCACAUUGGGACUGAGAUACGGCCCAGACUCCUACGGGAGGCAGCAGUGGGGAAUAUUGCACAAGGGGCGCAAGCCUGAUGCAGCGACGCCGCGUGGGGGAUGACGGCCUUCGGGUUGUAAACUCCUUUCGCUAGGGACGAAGCUUUUUGUGACGGUACCUAGAGAAGAAGCACCGGCUAACUACGUG
This 465-nucleotide ribosomal RNA is filed under the name uncultured bacterium. RNAcentral describes it as "partial 16S ribosomal RNA". It matches the Rfam family "Bacterial small subunit ribosomal RNA", at positions 28 to 507 of the family's 1533-position model. The record is from RNAcentral.